RNAcentral lists this long non-coding RNA (333 nucleotides) under Rattus norvegicus (Norway rat). Its description in RNAcentral is "long non-coding RNA NONRATT024515". The record is from RNAcentral. Lineage: Eukaryota; Metazoa; Chordata; Mammalia; Rodentia; Muridae.
GAACAAGGAUGCUCCUGAGACCGUGAGUGUGUGGGAGCUUGGCGCGGGCAGGAUCUGGGUCUUAAGCUAUUGAUAACGAUGUCGUAACACAGGUGGGGCUUACAGGAGCUCCCAGAGGAACUGGCUUUUGUAGGGACUGUGAGACAAGCUCACCUCUCAUGAACAUGGCAUCCAAAGGGUUUCCUCAGUGGGUGUCCAGUAUCGCUCUUAUUUCUUAGAAUCCUCUUCCAUUUUGUUUUCUUUUUAUUUUGUGUGUUAUGAGUGUUCGCCUGCUUGUACAUAUGUGUACCAUGCACAUGCCUGAAGGAAGUAUCAUAUCCCUGGGAAGUGAAC